CACGUAGUUAGCCGUGGCUUUCUAAUAAGGUACCGUCAAGGUACGGGCAGUUACUCCCGUACGUGUUCUUCCCUUACAACAGAGCUUUACGAUCCGAAAACCUUCUUCGCUCACGCGGCAUUGCUCCAUCAGACUUUCGCCCAUUGUGGAAGAUUCCCUACUGCUGCCUCCCGUAGGAGUCUGGGCCGUGUCUCAGUCCCAGUGUGGCCGAUCACCCUCUCAGGUCGGCUACGCAUCGUCGCCUUGGUAGGCCGUUACCCCACCAACUAGCUAAUGCGCCGCGGGCCCAUCCUACAGUGACAGCGAGACGCCGUCUUUCAGAGUUGGUUCAUGCGAACCAACUGAUUAUUCGGUAUUAGCCCCGGUUUCCCGGAGUUAUCCCCAUCUGUAGGGCAGGUUGCCCACGUGUUACUCACCCGUCCGCCGCUAACGUUUCAAAGAGCAAGCUCUCUGAAACGUCCGCUCGACUUGCAUGUAUUAGGCAUGCCGCAGCGUUGUCCU
RNAcentral lists this ribosomal RNA (501 nucleotides) under uncultured Sporosarcina sp. RNAcentral's name for it is "partial 16S ribosomal RNA". The record is from RNAcentral. Lineage: Bacteria; Bacillati; Bacillota; Bacilli; Caryophanales; Caryophanaceae.